Molecule: ribosomal RNA, 253 nt
Filed under: uncultured bacterium
Lineage: Bacteria
Description: partial 16S ribosomal RNA
Rfam family: Bacterial small subunit ribosomal RNA
Source: RNAcentral
GACGAACCGUGCGAACGUUGUUCGGAAUCACUGGGCUUAAAGGGCGCGUAGGCGGGCCGCCAAGUUCGAGGUGAAAUCCUCCGGCUCAACCGGAGAACUGCCUCGAAUACUGGAGGCCUCGAGGCGGGUAGGGGCACGCGGAACUGUGGGUGGAGCGGUGAAAUGCGUUGAUAUCCACAGGAACUCCGGUGGCGAAGGCGGCGUGCUGGACCCGAUCUGACGCUGAGGCGCGAAAGCCAGGGGAGCAAACGGG